Molecule: ribosomal RNA, 483 nt
Filed under: uncultured bacterium
Lineage: Bacteria
Description: partial 16S ribosomal RNA
Rfam family: Bacterial small subunit ribosomal RNA
Source: RNAcentral
GACGAACGCUGGCGGCGUGCUUAACACAUGCAAGUCGAACGCUGAAGCUCAGCUUUUGUUGGGUGGAUGAGUGGCGAACGGGUGAGUAACACGUGAGUAACCUGCCUCCUUCUUUGGGAUAACGCCCGGAAACGGGUGCUAAUACUGGAUAUUCACUGGUCUUCGCAUGGGGGUUGGUGGAAAGGGUUUUUCUGGUGGGGGAUGGGCUCGCGGCCUAUCAGCUUGUUGGUGGGGUGAUGGCCUACCAAGGCUUUGACGGGUAGCCGGCCUGAGAGGGUGACCGGUCACAUUGGGACUGAGAUACGGCCCAGACUCCUACGGGAGGCAGCAGUGGGGAAUAAUGCACAAUGGGCGCAAGCCUGAUGCAGCGACGCCGCGUGAGGGAUGGAGGCCUUCGGGUUGUGAACCUCUUUCGCUCAUGGUCAAGCCGCAACAAUGGUUGUGGUGGGGGUAGUGGGUAAAGAAGCGCCGGCUAACUACGUG